This 1522-nucleotide ribosomal RNA is filed under the name Salmonella enterica. RNAcentral describes it as "bacterial SSU rRNA". It matches the Rfam family "Bacterial small subunit ribosomal RNA". Lineage: Bacteria; Pseudomonadati; Pseudomonadota; Gammaproteobacteria; Enterobacterales; Enterobacteriaceae. The record is from RNAcentral. RNAcentral also lists the same sequence under 2 other names.
AGAGUUUGAUCAUGGCUCAGAUUGAACGCUGGCGGCAGGCCUAACACAUGCAAGUCGAACGGUAACAGGAAGCAGCUUGCUGCUUUGCUGACGAGUGGCGGACGGGUGAGUAAUGUCUGGGAAACUGCCUGAUGGAGGGGGAUAACUACUGGAAACGGUGGCUAAUACCGCAUAACGUCGCAAGACCAAAGAGGGGGACCUUCGGGCCUCUUGCCAUCAGAUGUGCCCAGAUGGGAUUAGCUUGUUGGUGAGGUAACGGCUCACCAAGGCGACGAUCCCUAGCUGGUCUGAGAGGAUGACCAGCCACACUGGAACUGAGACACGGUCCAGACUCCUACGGGAGGCAGCAGUGGGGAAUAUUGCACAAUGGGCGCAAGCCUGAUGCAGCCAUGCCGCGUGUAUGAAGAAGGCCUUCGGGUUGUAAAGUACUUUCAGCGGGGAGGAAGGUGUUGUGGUUAAUAACCACAGCAAUUGACGUUACCCGCAGAAGAAGCACCGGCUAACUCCGUGCCAGCAGCCGCGGUAAUACGGAGGGUGCAAGCGUUAAUCGGAAUUACUGGGCGUAAAGCGCACGCAGGCGGUCUGUCAAGUCGGAUGUGAAAUCCCCGGGCUCAACCUGGGAACUGCAUUCGAAACUGGCAGGCUUGAGUCUUGUAGAGGGGGGUAGAAUUCCAGGUGUAGCGGUGAAAUGCGUAGAGAUCUGGAGGAAUACCGGUGGCGAAGGCGGCCCCCUGGACAAAGACUGACGCUCAGGUGCGAAAGCGUGGGGAGCAAACAGGAUUAGAUACCCUGGUAGUCCACGCCGUAAACGAUGUCUACUUGGAGGUUGUGCCCUUGAGGCGUGGCUUCCGGAGCUAACGCGUUAAGUAGACCGCCUGGGGAGUACGGCCGCAAGGUUAAAACUCAAAUGAAUUGACGGGGGCCCGCACAAGCGGUGGAGCAUGUGGUUUAAUUCGAUGCAACGCGAAGAACCUUACCUGGUCUUGACAUCCACAGAAGAAUCCAGAGAUGGAUUUGUGCCUUCGGGAACUGUGAGACAGGUGCUGCAUGGCUGUCGUCAGCUCGUGUUGUGAAAUGUUGGGUUAAGUCCCGCAACGAGCGCAACCCUUAUCCUUUGUUGCCAGCGGUUAGGCCGGGAACUCAAAGGAGACUGCCAGUGAUAAACUGGAGGAAGGUGGGGAUGACGUCAAGUCAUCAUGGCCCUUACGACCAGGGCUACACACGUGCUACAAUGGCGCAUACAAAGAGAAGCGACCUCGCGAGAGCAAGCGGACCUCAUAAAGUGCGUCGUAGUCCGGAUUGGAGUCUGCAACUCGACUCCAUGAAGUCGGAAUCGCUAGUAAUCGUGGAUCAGAAUGCCACGGUGAAUACGUUCCCGGGCCUUGUACACACCGCCCGUCACACCAUGGGAGUGGGUUGCAAAAGAAGUAGGUAGCUUAACCUUCGGGAGGGCGCUUACCACUUUGUGAUUCAUGACUGGGGUGAAGUCGUAACAAGGUAACCGUAGGGGAACCUGCGGUUG